AGCGAACGCUGGCGGCAGGCCUAACACAUGCAAGUCGAACGAACCUUUCGGGGUUAGUGGCGGACGGGUGAGUAACACGUGGGAACGUGCCUUUAGGGUCGGAAUAACCCAGGGAAACUUGUGCUAAUACCGAAUGUGCCCUUCGGGGGAAAGAUUUAUCGCCUUUAGAGCGGCCCGCGUCUGAUUAGCUAGUUGGUUGAGGUAAUGGCUCACCAAGGCGACGAUCAGUAGCUGGUCUGAGAGGAUGAUCAGCCACAUUGGGACUGAGACACGGCCCAAACUCCUACGGGAGGCAGCAGUGGGGAAUCUUGCGCAAUGGGCGAAAGCCUGACGCAGCCAUGCCGCGUGAAUGAUGAAGGUCUUAGGAUUGUAAAAUUCUUUCACCGGGGACGAUAAUGACGGUACCCGGAGAAGAAGCCCCGGCUAACUUCGUG
Molecule: ribosomal RNA, 434 nt
Filed under: uncultured bacterium
Lineage: Bacteria
Description: partial 16S ribosomal RNA
Rfam family: Bacterial small subunit ribosomal RNA
Source: RNAcentral